GUUCGUGUUGCCAAUCUUAAGUUUUCUAUGCAAUACUUUGUGAACGUUUUCUCGUCUGUUUUCUUUUAGUCAUAGUUUCUAACUUGUAAGGUUCGUGUUGCCAAUCUUAAGUUUUCUAUGCAAUACUUUGUAGACGUUUUCUCGUCUGUUUUCUUUUAGUCAUAGUUUCUAACUUGUAAGGUUCGUGUUACCGAUCAUUAGUUUUGUAUGCAAUACUUUAUGGACUGUUUCUAGUCUGUUUUCUUUUAGUCAUAGUCAUCCACUUGUAGAGUUUGUUUUCCUAAUCUAAAGUUUUCUAUGAUAGUAAUGUUUUCCCACUUGUAGGGUUCGUGUUGCCAAUCUUAAGUUUUCUAUGCAAUACUUUGUGGACGUUUUCUCGUCUGUUUUCUUG
This 391-nucleotide long non-coding RNA is filed under the name Mytilus galloprovincialis (Mediterranean mussel). Lineage: Eukaryota; Metazoa; Mollusca; Bivalvia; Mytilida; Mytilidae. The record is from RNAcentral.